This 253-nucleotide ribosomal RNA is filed under the name uncultured bacterium. Its description in RNAcentral is "partial 16S ribosomal RNA". It matches the Rfam family "Bacterial small subunit ribosomal RNA", at positions 524 to 776 of the family's 1533-position model. The record is from RNAcentral.
UACGGGGGAUGCAAGCGUUAUCCGGAAUCACUGGGCGUAAAGCGUUUGUAGGUGGUUAAAUAAGUCUGUUGUUAAAUAUUAGGGCUUAACCCUAAGCCAGCAGUGGAAACUGUUAGACUAGAGUAUGGUAUGGGUAGAGGGAAUUCCCAGUGUAGCGGUGAAAUGCGUAGAUAUUGGGAAGAACACCAGAAGCGAAGGCGCUCUACUGGGCCAUUACUGACACUGAGAAACGAAAGCUAGGGGAGCGAAUGGG